CCUACGGUCGGCAGCAGUGAGGAAUAUUGGUCAAUGAGCGAGAGCCUGAACCAGCCAAGUCGCGUGAGGGAGUACUGCCCUAUGGGUGGUAAACCUCUUUUGUCGGGGAGCAAAAGCCUGACGUGUCCGGCUGUGAGAGUACCCGAAGAAAAAGCAUCGGCUAACUCGGUACCAGCAGCCGCGGUAAUACGGAGGAUGCGAGCGUUAUCCGGAUUUAUGGGGUUUAAAGGGUGCUCAGGCGGUUUGUUAAGUCAGCGGUCAAAUCGUGGGGCUCAACCCCAUCCAGCCGUUGAAACUGGGGAUCUAGAGUGUGCGAGAGGUAUGCGGAAUGCGUGGUGUAGCGGUGAAAUGCAUAGAUAUCACGCAGAACCCCGAUUGCGAAGGCAGCAUACCGGUGCACAACUGACGCUCAGGCGCGAAAGCGUGGGUAUCGAACAGGAGUAGAUACCCCAGUAGUC
This 458-nucleotide ribosomal RNA is filed under the name uncultured bacterium. RNAcentral's name for it is "partial 16S ribosomal RNA". It matches the Rfam family "Bacterial small subunit ribosomal RNA", at positions 338 to 795 of the family's 1533-position model. The record is from RNAcentral.